AGGUACUUUUUUAAUGUCCUAUUUCGGAGCUCGCCUCGGAUCCCCGAAAUCUCAAGGCCCGCCUUGUUCCCACCGCUGGGGGAGUUCACUGUGGAGAGGAAGUGAGCAGCCACGUGUUCUGGGAGAAUGUUCGCCAGGAGUUUCUGGUUGUAGGCCUUCAGGUGCUCCAUUUCCUCCUUCUCCUCCGUCGCUUGAAGCUUCCACAGAAAGUCCAGUCUGCGUUCAUUCGUCAGAACGAUCGAUCAACAUUCAAAUCACUUUUUUAUUCGUCGAAAAAUAAUCCGAGGGGACAUUAAUCUUCAUUUGCCAUUAAAAUUAAAUUAUCUUAGGAGGUGAGAAAUGUUCCUUGCCUGUAAGUAGCCUCAGUGUGUUGAGAGUGUGCGACCAGGCAAGCCAUGAAGAAAACCACCAGAACACCUGCCAACCACCGUCCAGUUAGUUCGACGUCCUUCUCGUUCAAAGC
Osmia lignaria (orchard mason bee) is the source of this 463-nucleotide non-coding RNA. The record is from RefSeq and is a predicted model, not a curated record. Lineage: Eukaryota; Metazoa; Arthropoda; Insecta; Hymenoptera; Megachilidae.